GACGGCCGCUCGAGCCUCGGCGCGACCGAGCGCUUUCUCGCGCGCCAGCUCACGCACGCGCGAGUGCGCGCUGCCCGCCUCCCCUCCCCCUCGUAGGAGCGGGGCGACCAAUCCUGCUGCCGCACACAGAUGGCCGCCCCCGUGCGGGGGCGGGGUCACGUGGUGACGGCACUGCAGAGAGGAGGUCAGCCCCGGCUAGCCAAUCACCACCCUGGGAGAGGGUCGCGGCUUGCGCGUCAAAAGGGCUCAGGAAGCAACCACUGCCUUGGCGAAACCCCACCCUUGCAGGCCCUACCACAUUCUUCUUCCAACUGCCAUCUGCACUGCCUAGUCUCAUAAAGUUACCUAGACUAGCUUUGAACUUGAACUUGUGAUUAUCCAUCCUGUCUCAGCUUCCUGAAUAGCCUGGAUUAUAAACCUGCAACUCCAAGACCAGCAGAAACAUCAUCUUAAAGUAACCAAAAGCUCCACAGAAGUGGUGACUGUUGUUAGCCAUGGAAGUUCUGGUUUCUUCCUUGCACCAUGGGGAGCUAGUGUAAACAGAGCUCAGUAAACAACAACUCAGCAGCUGUAAUCAAGACCUUGGCUCUCAGGACUUCCCAGCGUUAGCACAUGUAUGUGCCAUAGAGAAUUGUUAACAGCAAUCCUACACAUGAAGAAAUGAAUGCUAAUUACCUCUGUGAUGCUCAUUCUACAUCAGCCAUGUCUUAGCGCCAGCUGCUGACUUGUCUGUCAGGUCUGGUCCUGUCUGUUCCUACACUGACACUACGGUGUUGCGUGACCCCAACCAGUAUUUUUCCUUUUUUCAGGCAGGGUCUUACUCUGAUACUCAGGUUGGAACUCAAUAUGGCUGCCCUUAGAACUCAUGGCAAUCUUCCUGCCUCAGAUGCCCAAAAGCUGGGAUUUGCUGGUGCGAGCCACCACAGCUGGCUUGCAACCAGUAAUUUUAUCUGAUGGACUGCACUGACUUGACAUGCCAUGGCAAUCAUUCUUCCAUGGCAUGCGUUUUAAAAAUGGCUAGUCAUUAGAAAAUGUGUUUUGGAACAACUGCACUGUUUGGAUGCUUCCAGCACUUUGAGCUGAGGGAAAUGAGCCUUGGCUGUGUUUCUGUACUGCCAAAUGUCCCUCCCCAAAGGCCGCCCUCAUUUAGGCUUUCUCUCAAGUGAGCACAGCUCUGGGCAGGCAUGCUCUGGCAGGGUGGGGCCCAGGAGACACCUACUUGGGCGGCUUCUCCACAGUGCGGUAGGAGUUGAAAGACUGCAGCUGGUUCUGGACUCCGUUCAGGGAGUUGGCCAGUUGCCUGUCAUUGAGGGUCACAAUCGUUUGUUCAAUCCACUGCAGCAGCUCAGAGGCCAGGGACUCAUAUUUCUCUACCAGGUGUUCUGCCUCCAUGGCAUGGUCCAGGACCUGUGGGACAGGAGGUAGGUAAGUGCGUGUCCUACCCAGAGCUAUAGCUCCACCCUGCCCCAUUUUGGGGGAGUGAGACA
This is a long non-coding RNA of Peromyscus eremicus (cactus mouse), 1487 nucleotides long. RefSeq lists it as uncharacterized. The record is from RefSeq and is a predicted model, not a curated record. NCBI's taxonomy places the organism in Eukaryota, Metazoa, Chordata, Mammalia, Rodentia, Cricetidae. The transcript has 4 exons.